AGGGGCUCGUUUUCAGGCUGGAGCAGCUGGAAGGAUGACUGCUGUCAUGCACACAGACAGGGAGAGACCAUGCGGGCAGGUUGCUUUGGCUUUUUAAGCAGGAGUAAGGAUCAGGAGCAGAGUUUUGGACACGCGUGGCUUGGUGAGCGGUGUGUAGGUCCGUGCCUGGGAUCGGAACCCGAAGACCCCAGGCCGCUGAAUCAGAGCGCGCAGAACUUUAACGACUCGGCCGUGGGCUGGGCCCAUGGGGCACUUUUAAGAGAGAAAAGGAGGACGAGACCCACAGUGGUGAAAGUAAUCGACUCCUGAGCUGCUUUGCUUGAAAAGGGAUCAAAGAAACGACAUAGUCGCUGGGGAGAGGAGCAGAGUCAAGAGCGUCAUACACAAAAGCAGAGUGAGUUAAUGGUUUACGGGGAACGGAGAGCAUCAGGAGACGUCAGCCGUCAGCAGUCCUACCUCUGGGAAUUCCUCCCACAGAAACGCGCUGACGAAUACUCGCAGAGAUGUGUUUUUGAAAGAUGUUUUAACACAUCUUAAAUGUCUAUAAUAACAAACAACUGGAAAUAAAAUCCACAAAUGAUAGUAGGUUAAUAAGUUAAGAUAUAUACAUAGAAAGAGAUACUAUAAUCUGAGAAUAAAUACCAGAAAGAUGUAGACAUUCACCACAUAUUAAGAGCAACUUGUUGGAUAACUGCACGUUUAUUGCAAAUUUACGUGCCUCUGUAUAUAGAAAAAAAGUCAGUGUUAACAAUGGCAUUUUUUCUAAGUAGUGGGAUUACGAGGUUUUUUAUGGGACUAUGGUUUUCCUUUUUGCUGAUCAACAUUUGUAACUUUUUUAUGAGUAUGUGUUAUAUAAACAGGACAUAAGUUUCCAAGAUUUGCCAUCUUUGAAGGCCCACGUGAAAGCCACCUGUUGUAAUAUUCCGCAAUUUCCUUCCCUCCACUGAAAUUGGAAAUGAAUCAGAAUUUCCUCUGAAUCCUCACAGCGAAUUAGUUAUUCAAUGUUAUAGCACUUAUCUGAGUCAGCUGUAUUCUAUUGCAAAAAUAAGUUAGUUAACUCAUGAAAUGGUGUGUGUGACUCCUGACGCACGGGGAUGUGCUCGGCCCUUGGACCCAGCAGCCUGCACUCGCGGUAACGGCUUGCCGAGCUGCUGCGGUAUUUCAGCUCCAGAAGUCACACCUGGUGGACCGCAGCCGAGAGUCUUUCCUGAGCCCUCCGUUGUGGAUGCUCCUUGUUGUUUCUCCCCACACCGACAGGCAGAGCACAUUGUUCCCGCGGGCUUCUCGGCGAAGAUCGUUCUGCUCAGGACCCCAGGCAGUCUGAAAGUCAGACUACUACCUCUAAACUUCUGAGUAUUUUAGAACUGAGGAGAGGAGAGUCUUUCCAUGUUCUACUGAAUUCUCUCACUUCUCUUUAUCUCUUUAAAUUGGCUUGUCUUCACCCAUUUGAUUGCUCUGUUUUUUCUUAAUGCCCUUGAACUCAACAUUGUUAAUUUGCUAUUAUAUUUCAAGAAGUGCCAAGACGUCGAGGUUUUCUGGUUCUACUGGUUUGUAGACCACUGGACAUGGGGAGUUUGGUUUUGUUGUUGCACGUUGCAUCUUCUGCCCACCAAUGGAGAAAAAGUCCCUGAAAACUGAUGGUCGGGGAAGAUUGAAAUGAACUAAAGAUGUGGGUAAAAUGUAGGGUCUUUUUCCAUAUUUAAUUUCUAAACUAGUAAAUGCAUUUGAGCUUUAGCAAACUGGUCAGUGCACUUUCUCAAGAUGCUAUUACAAGAAUUAAAUAAGCGUCUAUUGGAUUAGGAUGGCUGAAAUCAGAGGUCGGCAGGCAGCGCUGUGACGAGUCACAGCCCAAAGCCGGUCCAGGAGCCCCAGGGUCACCUAAAGUUCAGCAGAUCUGGCCUUGGUUUUGUUGGACUUUGGCCUGAUAAUCUGGAAGAAAAGAGAUACAAACAGUUUGACUAAAUCCACUAACAAUAGGGACUGAAAGAGGAAGCUCCAGAACGGUUUUUAAACCAAGCAAGUGUGCCAAUAAAAAAUAAAAUUAUUGAUACGGAGUUUACUAGAAAAAUAUGAGCAGUUAUGGAACUGGGGGCUUGAAGAAAGAAUUCACAAAAAUGUUGUGAACGAAUAAUGAACAUAAAAUAGAGUGGAAGGCCUUACGUGUCAGUUGUGUGAUUUUGACAGUGUUGUUU
This 2192-nucleotide long non-coding RNA is filed under the name Equus caballus (horse). Its description in RNAcentral is "lncRNA (ENSECAG00000052484.1)". The record is from RNAcentral. Lineage: Eukaryota; Metazoa; Chordata; Mammalia; Perissodactyla; Equidae.